RNAcentral lists this ribosomal RNA (1458 nucleotides) under uncultured Gammaproteobacteria bacterium. RNAcentral describes it as "bacterial SSU rRNA". It matches the Rfam family "Bacterial small subunit ribosomal RNA". The record is from RNAcentral. Lineage: Bacteria; Pseudomonadati; Pseudomonadota; Gammaproteobacteria.
UCAGAUUGAACGCUGGCGGCAGGCUUAACACAUGCAAGUCGAACGGUGGAAAUAGCUUGCUAUUUGCUGACGAGUGGCGGACGGGUGAGUAAUGCUUGGGAAUUUGCCUUGUUGUGGGGGACAACAGUUGGAAACGACUGCUAAUACCGCAUAAUGUCUUCGGACCAAAGGUGGCCUCUUUAUAUGCUAUCGCGACAAGAUGAGCCCAAGUGGGAUUAGCUAGUUGGUAAGGUAAUGGCUUACCAAGGCUUCGAUCCCUAGCUGGUCUUAGAGGAUGACCAGCCACACUGGAACUGAGACACGGUCCAGACUCCUACGGGAGGCAGCAGUGGGGAAUAUUGCACAAUGGAGGAAACUCUGAUGCAGCCAUGCCGCGUGUGUGAAGAAGGCUUUCGGGUUGUAAAGCACUUUCAGCGAGGAGGAAAGGGUGAUGGUUAAUAUCCAUCAUCUGUGACGUUACUCGCAGAAGAAGCACCGGCUAACUCCGUGCCAGCAGCCGCGGUAAUACGGAGGGUGCGAGCGUUAAUCGGAAUUACUGGGCGUAAAGCGCGCGUAGGCGGUUAAUUAAGUCAGAUGUGAAAGCCCAGGGCUCAACCUUGGAACUGCAUUUGAAACUGGUUAACUAGAGUUUUGUAGAGGGUGGUAGAAUUUCAGGUGUAGCGGUGAAAUGCGUAGAGAUCUGAAGGAAUACCAGUGGCGAAGGCGGCCACGGACAAAGACUGACGCUGAGGCGCGAAGGCGUGGGGAGCAAACGGGAUUAGAUACCCCGUAGUCCACGCAGUAAACGAUGUCUAUUAGAAGUUUGUGGCUAUAUGCCGUGGGUUUCAAAGCUAACGCAUUAAAUAGACCGCCUGGGGAGUACGGCCGCAAGGUUAAAACUCAAAUGAAUUGACGGGGGCCCGCACAAGCGGUGGAGCAUGUGGUUUAAUUCGAUGCAACGCGAAGAACCUUACCAUCCCUUGACAUCCAGAGAAUCACCUAGAGAUAGAUGAGUGCCUUCGGGAACUCUGAGACAGGUGCUGCAUGGCUGUCGUCAGCUCGUGUUGUGAAAUGUUGGGUUAAGUCCCGCAACGAGCGCAACCCUUAUCCUUAGUUGCCAGCACGUAAUGUGGGAACUCUAGGGAGACUGCCGGUGAUAAACCGGAGGAAGGUGGGGACGACGUCAAGUCAUCAUGGCCCUUACGGGAUGGGCUACACACGUGCUACAAUGGCAAAUACAAAGGGCUGCUAACCAGCGAUGGUAUGCGAAUCUCAUAAAGUUUGUCGUAGUCCGGAUCGGAGUCUGCAACUCGACUCCGUGAAGUUGGAAUCGCUAGUAAUCGUGGAUCAGAAUGCCACGGUGAAUACGUUCCCGGGCCUUGUACACACCGCCCGUCACACCAUGGGAGUGGGCUGCACCAGAAGUCAUUAGCUUAACCUCGGAUGGCGAUGACCACGGUGUGGUUCAUGACUGGGGUG